GGAGUUUAAGCAUGCGUGGGAUAGGCAUAAGGCUAUCCUAACUAUAAGAUAAGGCUAGGGACUAAUGAAAGUAUUUAGAAAAUUGGGCAGACUAGAUGGGCCGAAUGUUUCUAUGUUUCUAUGUAACUCUGUUCCGCAGGGUAGCUGUUGACAUUAUAGUUGCGCAGGCACUUUGUUGACUCUAGAGAACCUCGGGACAAUCGCACAUCCCUGUGACGGCGACUUUGCAUUUGGAUGUCAUCCUUAUCAACUUUCGAUGCCAGUUUCUGCGCCUACCAUGGGGACCACGGGUAACGGGGAAUCAGGGUUCCAUUCCAUACAGGGACCCCGAGAAACGACUACCACAUGCAAGGAAGGCAGCAGGCGCGCAAAUGACCAACUCCCGACGCGGGAAGGUAGUGAC
Molecule: non-coding RNA, 403 nt
Organism: Pelobates cultripes (western spadefoot toad)
Lineage: Eukaryota; Metazoa; Chordata; Amphibia; Anura; Pelobatidae
Source: the annotation of a GenBank genome assembly